This 1179-nucleotide long non-coding RNA is filed under the name Ursus maritimus (polar bear). RNAcentral's name for it is "lncRNA (ENSUMAG00000021067.1)". Lineage: Eukaryota; Metazoa; Chordata; Mammalia; Carnivora; Ursidae. The record is from RNAcentral.
AGGAGGUGAAGGCACCGGGGCCACGGAUGAGAAUGAAGUCCCCGAGCAGAGGGCAGGAGAGCGAGAGCACUGCCGUGUCGUACCACACUUUGUAUUACUGUGUCGUACUCCCUCAUCGUGGACACUGUGGUGUGCCCCCCAGAUCUCCACCAUCGGGGCCAGUGCAUACAUUCUCCCAGCUUCUGGGGAAGUUGCCAUCUGAAAGCUCAUCGCUGAGUCCCUCUCCAGGAAUUUCUCUCCUCCAAGGGGAACCCUCUCAUCCAAGGCUACUCUUCCUCCCAGGAAGGAAACCGCAUCCAGUGACAUUCUACAAAAACACAUCUCCCUGUGUCACUUCUGGACCUCUCAGCUUCAGAGCUCCCUGUGAGAUCAUGUUCCAGUUCAACUCCCCCUUCUGCCAAAUCGUACACAGGUGCUGUUCUGGAGGACACUCCCUGAUAAACUUCUGGCUGCCAAGUCUCCAUCUCAGACCCAGGGACCCCAACUGACAACACCUCUAAUGAGACAGGAAGCUUACUGAAGACCAGCUGUCAAAUUCUUUGUAUCUGCCUUCCCCUUCCGUCCUACUCCGUCUCCCUGGUACUUGGCACAGUGCCGAACAGACUUCAGAUGGAUGGGACAUGGAUGGUGACUUGCACAAAGAUUGGACAAGGACUAUCUAUUUCCCUUCUUUGCAUCCGAAGUAAACACCGAAUAUCUUCUUGUCUCUAAUAUGCAAAAUAUUCAUAGAAUUUACAAAUAAUACAAAAUAUAUACAGUCUAGGGAUUCCUUCUGUAAAGUGUUUCCUGGGGAAAUGCACAUUUUAAAACCCAGAGAAUGUUUUUUUAUUUUUAAAAUGAGGGAAGUGUAGCCCAGACUCACUUUAAUCUUUCUGCUUUAGGUGAACAGGCCUCGGGGCAAUUAAGAGAGGCGUGAUAUAAAUCUACUUUUUCUCGGGCCACUGGUGAAAUUUUCACUGUUGAUGAAGAAAGUGAACAACCCAUUCCAGUGACUCUGUAGACAUUCUAGAAAGAUCCGCUUCCCUAAAACCUUCCCUUGUUUAGCUCAAUGGUAAUUUUGGCUAAGUGAUUAUUAGUGGCAAUGCUUAUGGCCUAAUUGGGGCUGUAUUUCUGCUCUAAUGGCUCCCAGUCAACGUUCCCAGCAAGAGGUUGUGAGGCAGAUCCCCCAGUGGGUUGGCA